Molecule: ribosomal RNA, 482 nt
Filed under: uncultured bacterium
Lineage: Bacteria
Description: bacterial SSU rRNA
Rfam family: Bacterial small subunit ribosomal RNA
Source: RNAcentral
GAGUUUGAUCCUGGCUCAGGAUAAACGCUGGCGGCAUGCCUAACACAUGCAAGUCGAACGGAGCGCCUUGGAAGGAGACUUCGGUCAACGGAAGAGGAGGCUUAGUGGCGGACGGGUGAGUAACGCGUGAGGAACCUGCCUCAGAGAGGGGGAUAACACACCGAAAGGUGUGCUAAUACCGCAUAACAUAUGAGAGGGGCAUCCCUUUCAUAUCAAAGAUUUAUUGCUCUGAGAUGGCCUCGCGUCCAAUUAGCUAGUUGGUGAGGUAACGGCCCACCAAGGCGACGAUUGGUAGCCGGACUGAGAGGUUGAACGGCCACAUUGGGACUGAGACACGGCCCAGACUCCUACGGGAGGCAGCAGUGGGGAAUAUUGCACAAUGGGGGGAACCCUGAUGCAGCAAUGCCGCGUGAAGGAUGAAGGUUUUCGGAUUGUAAACUUCUUUUGUACGGGACGAAGAAAGUGACGGUACCGUAAGAAUA